UUUUUGAGAGAGAAAGAGGAGUGCUUUUAGUUUCUCCCAACAAAAGAGAGAUUUUAUGAGAGAGAAAGUUCAAAACAAAUUUUCUCCUCCUCCUUUCUCUGAAAUGUGAUUUUAAUUGAAUUAUGUUUACAAAAACUAGUUUAUUAAGCGAAAUACUAUUUCAAUUUCGCUAUUUUUUGAAUUUUUUUAUUCAUUCAAAGAGGUUUAUGUUGUUGAUGAAUGUGCAUCGGGUGAUUAAGGUGCACCAAGAGCACCAUGCACACCCCUGCACAAUCUGAGCGUUGGGCUCUAUCCGGUGGCACGAUCUGUAAAAUCAAUAUUUUUACUGUAUUUUGUACAAAAAUUAAAAAAUACGGAGUAUAUACUUUCUCCGUUUAGAUAUAGUUGCAUUGUCCAAAACAGCCUGGUCCAAGCAUAAACGGUCAUGUUUAUGUAUCUUGGGUUAUCAAAUUUUUGUUUUUCAGUCAGGUCCGGGUCGGUCCAGUCCUUAAAAAUGAAGGAUCAAAACUUUCCAUUUUUUUUCUUUUUUCCAAAUAAGUCUUGAAUUAUAUUCCCGGUGCUUCUGUUGUUAAUUUGAAGUGAGUCUCGGGUGAGCAGUUUCUAUUUUCACUUGCCGAAAGCAUGGACGGAAACUCCUACUGGCAUUCGAGUGACUGACAGACUUUAUUCCAAUUCUCCUCGGAACGCUGAAUUCGAUUGUUUUCCAAGAAUGUUGGUUGAACCGCUUAAGCAAAGCUUUUGGUCGGGUUCAAGAUAUAUGAAUGGUCUCAUAGGGGCCCUAGUGUCACGAUAUAGUGUCACGAUAUCCAAAAAGUAGCCCGAAGUGACUGACCAUAUAGUAUCAUUUUUCUUAAUCGAAGCUUUUGGAAAGAUUAAGCGAUUCAGACGGGUCGAGAUUUGGACCGGUGAACACCACAAUUAUAGUAGUAGUAAUAGUAGUAGUGACAAGAAGCAUGAUAUAUUUAGCUUGUAAGCUGCAUGCCUGCAUCUGCUAUGUAAAAAACACUCUGGUAGGUAGCCUACUUGAUUUGCAUCUUAUUAAUUGGGACAAUAGUGUCAAAAACCUAGUUGAUCACAUCAUGAAUAAGAACUCAAAGUAACUACCACGUACUCGUAGUUAAAAUUUCAAGAACAAUCUACCUUUAAAAUGAAAAUACCACCUACAG
Long non-coding RNA from Spinacia oleracea (spinach), 1166 nucleotides. RefSeq lists it as uncharacterized. The transcript is spliced from 2 exons. The record is from RefSeq and is a predicted model, not a curated record. Lineage: Eukaryota; Viridiplantae; Streptophyta; Magnoliopsida; Caryophyllales; Amaranthaceae.